Molecule: ribosomal RNA, 458 nt
Filed under: uncultured bacterium
Lineage: Bacteria
Description: partial 16S ribosomal RNA
Rfam family: Bacterial small subunit ribosomal RNA
Source: RNAcentral
CCUACGGGUGGCUGCAGUGAGGAAUAUUGGUCAAUGGGCGAGAGCCUGAACCAGCCAAGUCGCGUGAGGGAGUACUGCCCUAUGGGUUGUAAACCUCUUUUGUCGGGGAGCAAAAGCCGGGCGUGUCCGCCUGUGAGAGUACCCGAAGAAAAAACAUCGGCUAACUCCGUGCCAGCAGCCGCGGUAAUACGGGGGAUGCGAGCGUUAUCCGGAGUUAUUGGGUUUAAAGGGUGCGCAGGCGGAUUUUUAAGUCAGCGGUAAAAUCGUGGGGCUCAACCCCAUCCAGCCGUUGAAACUGGGGAUCUAGAGUGGGCGAGAGGUAUGCGGAAUGCGUGGUGUAGCGGUGAAAUGCAUAGAUAUCACGCAGAACCCCGAUUGCGAAGGCAGCAUACCGGUGCACAACUGACGCUCAGGCACGAAAGCGUGGGUAUCGAACAGGAUUAGAUACCCCUGUAGUC